Molecule: transfer RNA, 85 nt
Filed under: Microcaldota archaeon
Lineage: Archaea; Nanobdellati; Microcaldota
Also listed under: 1 other name
Description: tRNA-Leu
Rfam family: tRNA
About the family: Transfer RNA (tRNA) molecules are approximately 80 nucleotides in length.
Source: RNAcentral
GCAGGGAUGGCGGAGCCUGGUCAAACGCGACGGACUCAAGAUCCGUUGGCUUAGGCCUACGGGAGUUCAAAUCUCCCUCCCUGCA